UCUGAUUUGUUAUUGAAUUUCUCUUUAAAUUAGUGAAGCUUUCCUUCUUCACAAAAGGAUUUACACUAAAUGGAGGUAAAACUUGAACCAUUCCUUUCUUCUGAAGAUUAUGGCAUUUCGAAAUAGAAUCUGUGUUCCUAUAACUAAAAUAUUCUUUAAAUUACCAAAGAACUUGUUGAAAGACUUGCUUAAAUAAAGGAGCUACAUUAUUUUGGGAUAUGAUUUUAUAUUUAUAUGUUGUUCAGGAACAUUGAUUUCAGAGAGUAACGGAUCUAUAGUGCAAUCUUAAUUUAGCAAUAAUAUAAUUACAUUGCUUAUUUAGAAUGCUGACUAUAUUUCUGUCUCAAGGCUCUAUAGGAACAAAGUAGAGGCUUAGAAAAUGGGAGAUUGUCUGGACCAUCUGCCACGGUAGAUAAAGCUCUGAAUCAUCAUUUGAGUACUGACCUUAAAACUUUCUCUUGCCCUUCCGUUGUGUUUAAUGACCUUUUUCAUCUCCUUGGUUGAGCCCUUACUUUUCUUGUUAUGACCAGCUCAAAUCCUGUUUAGUGGUAGAAAUCACCCUGAUGCUUUUAGACUUUUCUUCUUAACAUAUUGUUUUCUUUCAUGGCAUUGCUUUACCAAAAAGUAAAAUCACAGAAAUCAAUAAUUUGGUACUGUAUGCCCAAUUUGGCAAGUUUAUUUUAUAAGAAAUAUGAGGAAAUCAUAUCAUGAGGAUGAUUUGUGUGUGGGGAGAGUUACGAAAUGGUCAUGAGAAACACUUUUUUUUUUUAUCUUAGAGAUUCUACAUUGCAUUAACUGGGAUUCCAGUAGCAAUUUUCAUAACUCUGGUGAAUGUAUUCAUUGGUCAAGCUGAACUAGCAGAAAUUCCAGAAGGCUAUGUCCCAGAACACUGGGAAUAUUAUAAGCAUCCCAUAUCGAGAUGGAUUGCCCGUAAUUUCUAUGAUAGUCCUGAAAAGAUAUAUGAAAGAACAAUGGCCGUCCUUCAGAUUGAAGCUGAAAAGGCUGAAUUACGG
This 1013-nucleotide small RNA is filed under the name Pan troglodytes (chimpanzee). RNAcentral describes it as "retained intron". Lineage: Eukaryota; Metazoa; Chordata; Mammalia; Primates; Hominidae. The record is from RNAcentral.